UCCCUCUCCUCCUCUUCUGCGCCUCUCGCGACCUUUGCUUCGCUCACCCCCCCCUUCUCCGCAAACGGACGCCACGACCACCACACGUAGCUGCCGUGCUCGUUCUCUUAUACUCACCUCACACCUCACACCCAAGAAAGACAAAAAAAAAAACAAUCAUGACCUUUCAGGUUGAGGUGCGCCCGUUCGGUGCGGGAAAAUUGAUUUGGCUCAAGACGGCCCGCUUGCGUGUCGGGCUCGCCAAUUUCGGUGCCACCAUCAGCUCAGUGCAGGUCUUCCACCCCCAGCGGCAGAAGUGGAUUGAGGUCAACUGCGCCUUUCCGGAGAGCGCCGCUGAGACAGAGGCGGAUACCGACUACAUGGGGGUGACGGCGGGACGCUGUGGCGGUCGCGUGGCUCACGCCACCUUCAAGCUUGACGGGGUUACUUAUCACACCGAUAAGAACAUGGCUGGCAGACACACGUGCCAUGGCGGACACAACGCCUUCAACAAGAAGCACUGGGGCUUCGCCGUCUUGGAGACAGCGACAGAAAUCGGCGUCACCUUCAACUACACCAGCCCGCACAUGGAGAACGGCUUCCCCGCUGAGCUGGUGAGCAAGGUCACCUACUCAAUUGAGCGGACGAAGCCGAACGUGCUCAAGACACACUACGACUCCUACAUCCCGGAGACGAGCCCGGCAGAUGCCACCCCGGUCAACAUCUUCAAUCACGCCUACUGGAACCUCAACGGUAUCCCAGAGCGCAACGGCAAGUGCAACGCCGUGUGGGAGCAGCCAGAGAGCGUGCGCAACCACUGGCUCCGCGUGCCAGCAAGCCGGGUGGCCGAGGCGGACCGCAUGGCCAUCCCGACUGGCGAGUUCCUGUCAGUUGAGGGCACCGGGCUCGACUUUCGGCAGGGACGCGUGAUUGGCGACUGCAUUGACGACGUGGCGCUGCUCGACCGCGACCCGUGCGGCUACGACCACCCCCUCGCCAUCGAUGGCUGGGAGAAGGGCAAGCUGAUGCUGCACGCCGAGGCGAAGAGCCCGGUCACGAACAUCUGCAUGAAGGUGUACUCGACCUUCCCGUGCAUGUGGGUGUACACGGCGAACAACAAGCCGCUGCCGGCGAGCGGCGGCCCGGGCCAGCGCUACGCGCGUUGGACAGGUAUGGGACUCGAGCCGCAGUACUUCCCGGAUGGUGCGAACCACUACCCCAAGUACCCGUCUUGUAUCAUUCGUCGUGGCAAGAGCCGCUUUACCGAGACCAUGCUCAACGAGUUUACCGUCGACUGCAGUUCCAAGAUGUAAGUUGGAAUCCAAUGGGACGACGCUUCGAUGUUCUCUCUCUCCGAGCCCACCCCACCCACACAUCCUUGUACAUCUCCUCGGCCUGUGGAAGCGCGAGCACGGACGCACACGCGCAGCGACAUCGAGACGUGCAUCGAUGCACACGCCAACAGGGCGAGGCAUAUGCGCCUGUACACGAAGAGGGAGCAGUGUCUGUUUAGCUGGUCAGCCGUCUGCGUCCGCGUUUGUGUGUGCGUGUGUGUGUGUGUGUGUGUCGGUACUGCUACGUGCUGCGUGACUGUCAUCUUCUGUCCGCCUGCAUCACUCCCACAAGGCACUGGGCUGUCUGCCUAUUCUUUUGACCAAUUCUAUUCACGUGUGCCUUUCCAUCAGAGCACCCAUCCAGGCGUGCUUCUUUUUUUUUGUUUUCUCUUCCGCUACCCGCGCGCUUGUGCCCGCGAGCAGACAACUUUGAUCGUUUCCUUUUCGCUUUUUUUUACUGUUCCCUAUUCAGUGCCACGUAGGUAAUACGCAUUCGCAUUCACACGCGUGCGAGUGAAAAGAGGAGAGUAGCCCGGAGACGCUAUCAAAAGACUUUCAAAACAGAAAACGUUCAGCAUUGUGUGUGCUUCUAUUGAUUUUUGUUCCUCCUCCUCCUUCGUCGUUUCUAGGUUCUGUGCGCCCCCCCCCUCCCCCUACGCGAAGCAUCGCGCACCUACCCGUCGCGUGCGCCAUACACCCGUUUGUGGCUGUGCCGCUUUGAAUUUGGUGUCCAUGCGCUCGUGGGUGCGCGUCUGCCGGUGAUCGUCUCUCGACGCUCCCACGCCCCACUCCACCCCUCUCUACUUUCACAGCUCUGCCUCUCGCUCUGACCCCACGCGUCGCCGCGUCCGCUUCCGCAGCCUCCAUGUCCUCCACCCCCCCCCUCCGAGUGAGCAAGUGCCGACACAUACACGUGCUUGUGUGUGUGUGUGUGUGUGUGUGUGCGCGCGCGUGCACUGGAGGAGCAGGUGGAAGGUCUCGAUGUGCGAGACCACGAAACGCAUGAGCACAACCGGAACAGGGGGCAAUGCGACUGAAGAGAAAAGGAGGCGGAGUCGAAGCGCGGCACACCGCCGAGAUCUGUCACAGAAGAGUACACCAAAAGC
RNAcentral lists this unclassified non-coding RNA (2419 nucleotides) under Leishmania donovani. RNAcentral's name for it is "gene:LdHU3.35.1230(CDS-product:aldose_1-epimerase _putative)". The record is from RNAcentral. Lineage: Eukaryota; Euglenozoa; Kinetoplastea; Trypanosomatida; Trypanosomatidae.